Molecule: ribosomal RNA, 292 nt
Filed under: uncultured bacterium
Lineage: Bacteria
Description: partial 16S ribosomal RNA
Rfam family: Bacterial small subunit ribosomal RNA
Source: RNAcentral
GUGUCAGCCGCCGCGGUAAUACGGAGGGUGCGAGCGUUGUCCGGAAUCACUGGGCGUAAAGGGCGCGUAGGCGGCCUGCUAAGUUGCGGGUGAAAUCCCGGGGCUUAACUCCGGGGCUGCCAGUAAGACUGGCAGGCUAGAGCACGGUAGAGGCAGAUGGAAUUCCCGGUGUAGCGGUGGAAUGCGUAGAGAUCGGGAAGAACACCAGUGGCGAAGGCGAUCUGCUGGGCCGUUGCUGACGCUGAGGCGCGACAGCGUGGGGAGCAAACAGGAUUAGAUACCCUAGUAGUCC